AGCAGCCGCGGUAAUUCCAGCUCCAAUAGCGUAUAUUAAAGUUGUUGCAGUUAAAAGCUCGUAGUUGAAUUUCGGGGUUAGUAGGUCGGUCGUGCCACAGGUAUGUACUGGUCUCACUGAUUCCUCCUUCCUGAUGAACCGUAAUGCCAUUAAUUUGGUGUUGCGGGGAAACUGGACUGUUACUUUGAAAAAUUAGAGUGUUUAAAGCAGGCUAACGCUUGAAUACAUUAGCAUGGAAUAAUGAAAUAGGACGUUCGAUCCUAUUUUGUUGGUUUCUAGGAUUGACGUAAUGAUUAAUAGGGAUAGUUGGGGGCAUUAGUAUUCAAUUGUCAGAGGUGAAAUUCUUGGAUUUAUUGAAGACUAACUACUGCGAAAGCAUUUGCCAAGGAUGUUUUCAUUAAUCAAGAACGAAAGUUAGGGGAUCGAAGACGAUCAGAUACCGUCGUAGUC
This 450-nucleotide ribosomal RNA is filed under the name uncultured Glomeromycotina. RNAcentral's name for it is "SSU rRNA". It matches the Rfam family "Eukaryotic small subunit ribosomal RNA", at positions 569 to 1025 of the family's 1831-position model. The record is from RNAcentral. Lineage: Eukaryota; Fungi; Glomeromycota.